RNAcentral lists this ribosomal RNA (791 nucleotides) under uncultured Methanosarcinaceae archaeon. Its description in RNAcentral is "bacterial SSU rRNA". It matches the Rfam family "Archaeal small subunit ribosomal RNA", at positions 85 to 879 of the family's 1478-position model. Lineage: Archaea; Methanobacteriati; Methanobacteriota; Methanomicrobia; Methanosarcinales; Methanosarcinaceae. The record is from RNAcentral.
ACGGCUCAGUAACACGUGGAUAACCUGCCCAAGGGUCCGGGAUAACCCCGGGAAACUGGGGAUAAUACCGGAUGGAUCACUUAUGCUGGAAUGCUUGGUGGUCGAAAGGUGACGCCCUUGGAUGGGUCUGCGGCGGAUUAGGUUGACGCCGGUGUAACGUACCGGCGUGCCUGUAAUCCGUACGGGUUGUGGGAGCAAGAGCCCGGAGAUGGAUUCUGAGACACGAAUCCAGGCCCUACGGGGCGCAGCAGGCGCGAAAACUCUACAAUGCAGGCAACUGCGAUAGGGGGACAUCGAGUGGCAUCCACCUUGGGUGCCUGUCCCACCGUCUAAAAAACGGUGGUUAGCAAGGGCCGGGCAAGACCGGUGCCAGCCGCCGCGGUAAUACCAGCGGCUCGAGUGGUGGCCGAUAUUAUUGAGUCUAAAGGGUCCGUAGCCGGCUUUGCAAGUCCCCUGGGAAAUCCAGCGGCUUAACCGUUGGGCUUUCAUGGGAUACUACAUUGCUUGGGACUGGGAGAGGUAGGAGGUACUCGGGGGGUAGGGGUGAAAUCCUGUAAUCCCCCGGGGACCACCGGUGGCGAAGGCGUCCUACCAGAACAGGUCCGACGGUGAGGGACGAAAGCUAGGGGCACGAACCGGAUUAGAUACCCGGGUAGUCCUAGCCGUAAACGAUGCCCGCUAGGUGUCACGGCGGUCGUGAAUCGCCGUGGUGCCGUAGGGAAGCCGCGAAGCGGGCCACUUGGGAAGUACGGCCGCAAGGCUGAAACUUAAAGGAAUUGGCGGGGGAGCAC